This 654-nucleotide ribosomal RNA is filed under the name uncultured bacterium. RNAcentral's name for it is "bacterial SSU rRNA". It matches the Rfam family "Bacterial small subunit ribosomal RNA", at positions 8 to 707 of the family's 1533-position model. The record is from RNAcentral.
AGGGUUUGAUCCUGGCUCAGAACGUACGCUGGCGGCACGCCUAACACAUGCAAGUCGAACGAAGUAGCAAUACUUAGUGGCAGACGGGUGAGUAACAUGUAGGUAUCUACCCUAUGGCCUGGAAUAACACGAGGAAACUUGUGCUAAUACUGGAUAAGUCUUUACGGAGAAAGCUUUAUGCACCAUUGGAUGAGCCUGCACUUGAUUAGUUUGUUGGUGGGGUAAUGGCCUACCAAGACUUUGAUCAAUAGCUGAUUUGAGAGGAUGAUCAGCCACAUUGGGACUGAGACACGGCCCAAACUCCUACGGGAGGCAGCAGUGGGGAAUCUUGCACAAUGGAGGAAACUCUGAUGCAGCGAUGCCGCGUGAGUGAAGAAGGCCCUUGGGUUGUAAAGCUCUUUCGUCGGGGAAGAAAAUGACUGUACCCGAAUAAGAAGGUCCGGCUAACUUCGUGCCAGCAGCCGCGGUAAUACGAAGGGACCUAGCGUAGUUCGGAAUUACUGGGCUUAAAGAGUUCGUACGUGGUUGAAAAAGUUGGUGGUGAAAUCCCAGAGCUUAACUCUGGAACUGCCAUCAAAACUUUUCAGCUGGAGUUUGAUAGAGGAAAGCAGAAUUUCUAGUGUAGAGGUGAAAUUCGUAGAUAUUAGAAAGAUA